UCCCUGGUGGCUCAGAGGUUAAAGCGUCUGCCUGAAAUGCAGGAGACCUGGGUUCGAUCCCUGGGUCGGGAA
This is a non-coding RNA of Bos taurus (domestic cattle), 72 nucleotides long. The record is from Rfam. NCBI's taxonomy places the organism in Eukaryota, Metazoa, Chordata, Mammalia, Artiodactyla, Bovidae.